AUUGAACGCUGGCGGAAUGCUUUAUACAUGCAAGUCGAACGGCAGCACGGACUUCGGUCUGGUGGCGAGUGGCGAACGGGUGAGUAAUGUAUCGGAACGUGCCCAGUCGUGGGGGAUAACGUAGUGAAAAUUACGCUAAUACCGCAUACGAUCUAUGGAUGAAAGCGGGGGAUCGCAAGACCUCGCGCGAUUGGAGCGGCCGAUAUCAGAUUAGGUAGUUGGUGGGGUAAAGGCCCACCAAGCCAACGAUCUGUAGCUGGUCUGAGAGGACGACCAGCCACACUGGAACUGAGACACGGUCCAGACUCCUACGGGAGGCUGCAGUGGGGAAUUUUGGACAAUGGGCGAAAGCCUGAUCCAGCCAUUCCGCGUGCAGGAUGAAGGCCCUCGGGUUGUAAACUGCUUUUGUACAGAACGAAAAGGUUUCUACUAAUACUAGGAGCUCAUGACGGUACUGUAAGAAUAAGCACCGGCUAACUACGUGCCAGCAGCCGCAGUAA
Molecule: ribosomal RNA, 500 nt
Filed under: uncultured bacterium
Lineage: Bacteria
Description: partial 16S ribosomal RNA
Rfam family: Bacterial small subunit ribosomal RNA
Source: RNAcentral